Molecule: ribosomal RNA, 244 nt
Filed under: uncultured bacterium
Lineage: Bacteria
Description: partial 16S ribosomal RNA
Rfam family: Bacterial small subunit ribosomal RNA
Source: RNAcentral
UACGUAGGGGGCAAGCGUUGUUCGGAAUUACUGGGCGUAAAGGGCGCGUAGGCGGCACGGUAAGUCGGGAAUGAAAGCCCGGGGCUCAACCCCGGAACGUCUUUCGAAACUGCCGAGCUAGAGUGCGGAAGAGGCAACUGGAAUUCCCAGUGUAGCGGUGAAAUGCGUAGAUAUUGGGAAGAACACCUGAGGCGAAGGCGGGUUGCUGGGCCGACACUGACGCUGAGGCGCGAAAGCCAGGGGA